CUAUAGUGAGUUACAGACAGAGU
Molecule: non-coding RNA, 23 nt
Filed under: Gossypium hirsutum (cotton)
Lineage: Eukaryota; Viridiplantae; Streptophyta; Magnoliopsida; Malvales; Malvaceae
Source: RNAcentral